Long non-coding RNA from Monopterus albus (swamp eel), 552 nucleotides. RefSeq lists it as uncharacterized. The record is from RefSeq and is a predicted model, not a curated record. Lineage: Eukaryota; Metazoa; Chordata; Actinopteri; Synbranchiformes; Synbranchidae. The transcript is spliced from 2 exons.
AAAGGCUAUACCAAACUGUUCACUGAUGUUGCUGCUGUUUCAAGAGAAGAUAGUGUUCCAAUGUCUUUUUGCAGUCUUAAAUUUGAUGCAAUGUUUUAGAUAUUUUGGAUGAGUACUUUUUUUUACUUCUACUUGAGUAGUAUUAUUUUGAAUUGUACUCUUACUUGAGUACAAUUUUUGGCUACUCUACCCACCUCUGUUUUGUGACCAGUACUCUUAUUAAAGACAGAGUGUUCUGCUUUUAUUCAUCGGGCCUUAUAAAUGACUUCACCAUCGACAUUAUUGACAGUUUUAUGCCAACAUGGACCGGAAGUCUGAUGUGACAGCUGCUGUGUGACUGAAUCAUCUGAGAUCUGAUGCCACGGACCAAGAAAUGGAGACCAGGAUUCCAAAUUGACUUCCAACAUGCACCAGAUGGGCGAAGCAAACAUCGGAAUGACGGAGCAGCAAUACAUUUACUUUUCAUGCUGUUCUAUCUUUGACCAAUGCUUACACUUGCAAAAUUUACCUGAGUGACAUAGUGCAAGACUGCAGAGUGUAGGAUGAAAAAAA